CCUAGUCUUCCCCCCAAGUUCCCAAAGUCCAUUGUAUCUUUCUUAGGCCUUUGCAUCCUUAUAGCUUAACUGCCACAAAUCAGUGGGAAGAUACAAUGUUUGGUUUUCCAUUCCUGUUACUUCAUGUAUGCACUUAUUAAAAUGUAUCUUUACUGAAGGAAGAAUAAUAUGAAUAAUACUGUGUUAUGUGUUACAACUCUGAAUUGGUCAUCAAAACCCCAAUUCACAUUGGUAUAUGAUCUCAAAUAAAAUAUGGUACGCAAAUGCUCACACAUGUAGUGUGUUCUUAAGAAGCUAAGGGUUUUCAGUUGAAAGAGCAAGCCUCUUACGUGUUAGAAUUAGAGGUUCAGGCACUAAAAAGUAACCUUAUAGAUCUCAUCUGGCCAUUGUUCUUUCUCACAUUUCCUCCUGAUAUCAUGCCUGUUGCCUAA
Molecule: long non-coding RNA, 431 nt
Filed under: Pan troglodytes (chimpanzee)
Lineage: Eukaryota; Metazoa; Chordata; Mammalia; Primates; Hominidae
Description: long non-coding RNA NONPTRT016541
Source: RNAcentral